GUCUAAUGGUUAGGAUAUCUGCCCUCCAAGCAGAUGGUCCAGGUUCGAUUCCCGG
This 55-nucleotide transfer RNA is filed under the name Perkinsus marinus ATCC 50983. It matches the Rfam family "tRNA", at positions 10 to 63 of the family's 71-position model. Rfam says of the family: Transfer RNA (tRNA) molecules are approximately 80 nucleotides in length. Their secondary structure includes four short double-helical elements and three loops (D, anti-codon, and T loops). Further hydrogen bonds mediate the characteristic L-shaped molecular structure. tRNAs have two regions of fundamental functional importance: the anti-codon, which is responsible for specific mRNA codon recognition, and the 3' end, to which the tRNAs corresponding amino acid is attached (by aminoacyl-tRNA synthetases). tRNAs cope with the degeneracy of the genetic code in two manners: having more than one tRNA (with a specific anti-codon) for a particular amino acid; and 'wobble' base-pairing, i.e. permitting non-standard base-pairing at the 3rd anti-codon position. The record is from Rfam by way of RNAcentral. Lineage: Eukaryota; Perkinsozoa; Perkinsida; Perkinsidae.